UCCAAGAGGAAAUGACCAUACAUCGUUUG
RNAcentral lists this non-coding RNA (29 nucleotides) under Rattus norvegicus (Norway rat). The record is from RNAcentral. Lineage: Eukaryota; Metazoa; Chordata; Mammalia; Rodentia; Muridae.